AAUGUGUCAUUGCAUGGUUGUGUUUUUUUUUAAUUAUUGAGGUACAAUUAACAUGUAAUGCAAGGUAGCUUUUAAACUGUUGAUAAUAUAUGUACCACAUAGAUGACAUUGACUGAAAACUGUGUUAGUUAGAGAUCUGGCAGAUCACACGCCCUUCCCCUGGUGGCCUUGGGGAUGUGAGGCUUAUUUUGACUAGAUUGGGACCACAUGACCAUUUGGAGAGCCAGGCAUAAAGUA
RNAcentral lists this long non-coding RNA (237 nucleotides) under Bos taurus (domestic cattle). Its description in RNAcentral is "long non-coding RNA NONBTAT002627". The record is from RNAcentral. Lineage: Eukaryota; Metazoa; Chordata; Mammalia; Artiodactyla; Bovidae.